Molecule: ribosomal RNA, 477 nt
Filed under: uncultured bacterium
Lineage: Bacteria
Description: bacterial SSU rRNA
Rfam family: Bacterial small subunit ribosomal RNA
Source: RNAcentral
CGCUGGCGGCGUGCCUAACACAUGCAAGUCGAACGAAGCUUGAAUUAUGAUUUCUUCGGAAUGAAUAAUGAUAUGACUGAGUGGCGGACGGGUGAGUAACGCGUGAGUAACCUGCCUUUUAGUACGGGAUAGUGUUUGGAAACGAACAGUAAUACCGUAUAAAGUUCAGAGAAGACAUCUUCUUUGAACCAAAGCUUUAGCGCUGAAAGAUGGACUCGCGUCUGAUUAGAUAGUUGGUGAGGUAACGGCUCACCAAGUCGACGAUCAGUGGCCGUACUGAGAGGUAGAACGGCCACAUUGGGACUGAGAGACGGCCCAGACUCCUACGGGAGGCAGCAGUGGGGAAUAUUGCACAAUGGACGAAAGUCUGAUGCAGCAACGCCGCGUGAAGGAAGACGGUUUUCGGAUUGUAAACUUCUGUUCUUAGUGAAGAAACAAAUGACGGUAACUAAGGAGCAAGCCACGGCUAACUACGUG